RNAcentral lists this ribosomal RNA (287 nucleotides) under uncultured Pseudomonas sp. RNAcentral describes it as "partial 16S ribosomal RNA". It matches the Rfam family "Bacterial small subunit ribosomal RNA", at positions 1096 to 1382 of the family's 1533-position model. The record is from RNAcentral. Lineage: Bacteria; Pseudomonadati; Pseudomonadota; Gammaproteobacteria; Pseudomonadales; Pseudomonadaceae.
GCGCAACCCUUGUCCUUAGUUACCAGCACGUUAUGGUGGGCACUCUAAGGAGACUGCCGGUGACAAACCGAGGAAGGUGGGGAGUGACGUCAAGUCAUCAUGGCCCUUACGGCCUGGGCUACACACGUGCUACAAUGGUCGGUACAAAGGGUUGCCAAGCCGCGAGGUGGAGCUAAUCCCAUAAAACCGAUCGUAGUCCGGAUCGCAGUCUGCAACUCGACUGCGUGAAGUCGGAAUCGCUAGUAAUCGUGAAUCAGAAUGUCACGGUGAAUACGUUCCCGGGCCUU